Molecule: unclassified non-coding RNA, 323 nt
Filed under: Hevea brasiliensis (rubber tree)
Lineage: Eukaryota; Viridiplantae; Streptophyta; Magnoliopsida; Malpighiales; Euphorbiaceae
Source: RNAcentral
UAUUAUUAUUAUUAUUAUUACUUUCAAAUUCCCUGCUUUGCUUUAUCUCUUUGUUUCAAUUGUGCAUAUUAGAUGUUUACCUUGAUUUGAUCCCUUUAUCUCCCUCUAUAAGAUGGGCUAUUAAAAUUUUCUGACUUCCUCUGAAAUGAGUUGGAGGGGAAGCCGCCAGUCUGCAAAAUCAAGGGAUUACACACUGUGGAUGGUUCUUAUGCGUAUGUUUUAUUGUUUUUGCAUUCGUGUAGGAAAAAAACUGAAGAACAAAAAUCGAUGGUUAAGUUGCUAGUAAAAGCAACAAGUUAACUUGUACAAUUGCUUGGAACCGU